AUCUUUUUAGUACAGAUAGUAUAUUUGACUUCCAAUCAAAAAGCCUUGGUUAAACCCCAAGAAUAGAUA
Molecule: transfer RNA, 69 nt
Filed under: Lepturacanthus savala (Savalani hairtail)
Lineage: Eukaryota; Metazoa; Chordata; Actinopteri; Scombriformes; Trichiuridae
Description: tRNA-Gly
Rfam family: tRNA
About the family: Transfer RNA (tRNA) molecules are approximately 80 nucleotides in length. Their secondary structure includes four short double-helical elements and three loops (D, anti-codon, and T loops). Further hydrogen bonds mediate the characteristic L-shaped molecular structure. tRNAs have two regions of fundamental functional importance: the anti-codon, which is responsible for specific mRNA codon recognition, and the 3' end, to which the tRNAs corresponding amino acid is attached (by aminoacyl-tRNA synthetases). tRNAs cope with the degeneracy of the genetic code in two manners: having more than one tRNA (with a specific anti-codon) for a particular amino acid; and 'wobble' base-pairing, i.e. permitting non-standard base-pairing at the 3rd anti-codon position.
Source: RNAcentral